AGCAGUGUGGCAUAGUGGUUUGAGUGUUGGACUAAAACUUUGGCGACCAGGGUUCAAUUCCCAGAGUUAUCU
This is a non-coding RNA of Phrynosoma platyrhinos (Desert horned lizard), 72 nucleotides long. The record is from the annotation of a GenBank genome assembly. NCBI's taxonomy places the organism in Eukaryota, Metazoa, Chordata, Lepidosauria, Squamata, Phrynosomatidae.